GGCGUAGUGGAUAGAGCACUGGCCUGGGAGUCAGAAGGUCUGGGUUCUAAUCCCAGCUCUGCCA
Molecule: transfer RNA, 64 nt
Filed under: Ornithorhynchus anatinus (platypus)
Lineage: Eukaryota; Metazoa; Chordata; Mammalia; Monotremata; Ornithorhynchidae
Rfam family: tRNA
About the family: Transfer RNA (tRNA) molecules are approximately 80 nucleotides in length. Their secondary structure includes four short double-helical elements and three loops (D, anti-codon, and T loops). Further hydrogen bonds mediate the characteristic L-shaped molecular structure. tRNAs have two regions of fundamental functional importance: the anti-codon, which is responsible for specific mRNA codon recognition, and the 3' end, to which the tRNAs corresponding amino acid is attached (by aminoacyl-tRNA synthetases). tRNAs cope with the degeneracy of the genetic code in two manners: having more than one tRNA (with a specific anti-codon) for a particular amino acid; and 'wobble' base-pairing, i.e. permitting non-standard base-pairing at the 3rd anti-codon position.
Source: Rfam by way of RNAcentral